UGUUUUUCCGCCAGUCCACCAGAACGCCGUCCUGGAGGAGGCUCUGAAUCCUCCUCCGGAGAGUGACCAGGUCCACUGCUGUUUUUUGGUAGACCUUGAUGUUCCUUGUCUCCCACAGGACCUGCUUGAUGGUAUUGAUAAUCCCCCACUGACGCUGGAGCUCCAUGGUCUUGAGUCCCUCUCGGGGACCGUAGAGGACUCUCUCAGCCGUCAGGGAGGACAUCGGCAGCAACCUGUUUUGGGAGACAGAGGAAACAACAAGGCCCCAGACCCGCCUAGCCACGGUGCACUCCCAGAACAGAUGGUGAAUGUGUUCCGAGUCAGUGCAACCGUGGGGGCAGCGUUCAAUCAGAGCUAAGUGCCUGCGAUACAUAAAUGUUCUUGUGGGGAGACACCUGUGAGCUGUCAUCCAGGCAAUGUCUUUUUGUUUAUUUGUAAGACACUUGUGUGUCACAUUUGCCCAGAUGACUUGCGGGUCCCGGGCCGGCCCUGACCUCGGGAGUGCGGCUGUUUUGUUAGAUCUUAAAUAAGCCAUGAUGAUUUUAUAGCUCCACGAGGUCAAGCCAGCCCUGGGCAAUCCUGCCCCAAAAGCAAAGUCCUUCAGCGCCUGAUAGACAAAGGGGGUUCCCAGCUAUACGGUACAGUUAGGUCAAGCACACCCAGGCCUACUGCCUUUAGGAAGGGGGUGGUGUAGUACCUGGCAAAGGCACCAGAGGCCUUUCCCUCCUUCCCAGCGUUCUGGACCAGAGCGGCCAGACCCUGCACCAUAAUGAUUUUAACUAUGUCUGGGACCCCCCACCCCCUAUUCCUCUCGUCUUUGAGGAGGGUGGCUCUGCUCAAUUUUUCCAUAUUGCUCCCCUAGACAAAGUGAAAGACCAACCUAGCGAUUUGAUUGCUGGUGGCCUUGUCUGGGGGAAACACCCUCCCCACAUUAAGAAGAAUGGGCAGGACAAUUGCCUUCAGGACGAGGAUCUUACCCGCCAUGGUCAGGGGCCGCGCACUCCAGCUUCGGGCUUUGUUUUGGACGUGGUGCAGGGCUCCCUCCCAGCUCGUUCGCCCUCCUCCGUCAGCCUGGAAGGUCACCCCCAAGAGCUUGAUGGUAUCUCUGCGCACAGGGAAGGAAACGGUUAACGGCUCACUAUAAUAAGGAGACAGAAACAUUUCACUCUUGUCCCUGUUGACCAGGGCGCCAGUGGCCGCACAGAAGUCGUUACCUUGGUGGCACAAGCGAUGGAGCGACUAUCUGUGGUGACGAUGGUGAUGUCAUCCAUGUACACCAUCACUUUUAGCCGCUCUCCCCCAGCCCCCGACAGCGGGUAGCCCGCCACUCCGGGGCUGGCCCUGAUGGCCUGGAGAAACGGUUCAGGUAGAUGACGUACAGGAGAGAUGCUAGAGGGCACCCCUGCCUGACACCAGACCUGAUGGCAAACGGGUCAGAGGGCUGGCGGUUGACAACCACUCUGCCCGUUAUGUCAGUCAGGCAGAUCUUCGUCCAGCGCCGGAGGGGGCCAGGAAUGUUCAUUCUCUCCAGCACUCUCUCCAAGCACACAUGACUCACCCGGUCAAAUGCCUUCUCUUGGUCAAGGCUGAGAAGGCACAAGGGGGACCUCUGCUCCCCGGAGUGGACGAUUAAAUCCCUCGUGAGGAGCAGGUUGUCAUUAAUGGACCUCCCCUGCACACUGCAGGUCUGGUCCGCCCGAUCACCGAUGUUAUCAGGCCUUGGAACCUCCUCAUCAGCGCCUUCGCCAUGAUCUUAUAGUCGACUGAGAGGAGGUUGAUCGGCCGCCAGUUGCGGAGGUCCUUCAGGUCCCCCUUCUUUGGGACAAAAGCUACCGAGCUCUGUCUCAGUGAGGCCCCCAACCGCCCUUCCCUGUACGCCGCUCUAAAGACUUCCGCCACGUCCUCCUUCAGGAGAUCCCAGUAAGUUUGGUAGAACUCGGCUGGGAUUCCGCCAGGACCCGGAGCUUUGUGCUGGUUGAGGAUAGCACGGCUCGGGUGAGCUCUUCGGUGCUCAACUUCGGCUCCAUCUGCUCAUCACCCAGACGUCUGUCAAAGCAGCCCAGGAAGGUGUCCAUGAGAUCCUCCUCGGAGGGCCUCUCACUUUAAAGGCCCCCGUAGAACUCCCUGGCCACCUCACGGACCUCCGCCUCUUCAGACACCACCACACCUCUGUUGUUAUAGAGAGACAAGAUGUUGUUAGUCUUAGACCGCCCUGCGGAAGAAAAACCGCGUGCACUUCUCAUCCUCCUCGAGGCCCUGGAGCUUGGAGCGGAAAAAGAAUUUUUCCCGCUCCUCCCAGUAGAGGGUGGUGAGGCUCUGUCGAGUCUGUGCGAUUUUGCUGCUACCAUCCAGGCCUCGGGACUGGAGGAGGCUCAGUCUCUGGAGGGCAGCAUUGUGACGUACAAAACCUGCCCUCCUUUCCUUUGCCUUCCUCCGCCCGGCUACCCGGAAGUAGCCUCGCACUCGCUCCUUCACCAUCUCCCACCACUCCACCGGGGAGUCAAAAAGAUGUUUCAGACUCACCCACUCCAGGUAACGUCUCGAGAAGGAGAGUUGCACCUGGGGGUCUCGGAGAUGGCUGGUGUUCAUUCGCCAGAGCCUCUUACCCACGGUUAUGGAUUUCUCCCAGGUCAGGGACACGGUCACCAUGUGGUGGUCUGAGAAGUGCACCGCCUGGAUCGAAUAAGCGGGCACUCCCAGGCCUGGGGAGAGCAGAAACAAAUCAAUCCUGGUUGAGGAGCAACCAGAGGAACUCACCCACGUGUGUUGGGGGGGAGAGGCGCCCCCGGCGUCGUGGAGGGAGAAAUCCUCUAUGAGGGACCACAGCAGGUUGCUGGAACGAUCCCGUCUGGGUCUGCUGCGGUCCUCAUCUUUUAGAGCACAGUUGAAAUCCCCCCCCCACGACAACCGACAUUGUGCAAUGUAACAGUGGUGACAGUUUUGUGAAAACGGAGACCCUCUCGGCCACGCUGGUGGGGCCGUACACGUUGAUGACCCUGAGUGGGGAACCCCCGACCUCGAAAUCCGUGACGAGGAUUCACCCACUCUCUACGAUGUUACUUGAUGUACAUAGGGAUUUUUCACUAACGUGCCGACUACAUCAGCUCUGGCGAUGUUAGAGCCAGACCAGAGAGAGUCUCCCAAUCUCCAUUCUCCCCCCAGAAUGCCAUCCAACUCCCGGAACGGAAUGCCACAUUCCUGGAGCAGGAUGAUGUCUGAGGGGACCUGGGAAAGGAUGGAGAAAACGGUGUGUCGUUUGGCUGAGUCUUUGAUACUACGGGUGUUAAGUGUUGAAAUUGCCGGACCUAAGCAGGUAGAAGAGAAGGAAGCACAGGAACAGCGCUUAGCAGGUUGCUGGUCCGUCCCAGGGGGACCAAGCAGUGCUGAAACGGAGGGAGCUGAUCUGGGCUCAGCUCCUCCAGGUGCAAUGGGACCUCCCUUCCAGUAGGGGUGCCCGGCGUUGAUCCACCAUGGUGUCUUUGCUGGAUCAGAGCACCGCUGCCAUUGUGGGGGGAGGUCCUCGGGUCCCCCUUUCCGCCUGCUCCUCGGCCUCGUCCUCUGGGUCCACCUGGUGGUCUGCUGCGGCCUGGAGAGCAAGAGAGGGGAGAACGGAGCAAGGGCGAAGGCCCAGCAAGGCUGGCAUAGACUGGAGAGCGAGCUGCUACGGGCCUUCUCUCCGGGCAGCUCUGCACUCCCCUCUGGUCUCCGGCGAUGGGCGUUCCGCAGCAGUGGUGUGGUCGCCGGAUGGCGGGAGUCUUCUGGCAGGGGGGCCUCCAAGCGCUGUCCUGGCUUCGGCGUUGGGGGUUCAGCAGGCCGCAGUCAGGCCACUGGUACCUGCCUAGCCCCAACACUAUAAGGUCCGGCCUGGUCCGCCGGUCUGAUGCUCUAGACACAACCACGGUUAAGCCACUGGUACUGCGCUAUCACACCAGACCUUCAGAGAGAGAGAGGAGGAGAGAGAGAGAGGCACGUCUGCUCAAAUCACACCCAAGAUCCACGAGCCCACUGUCCUCAGCUAGCUAACCAGCAGAGGGCAGUAGACUCGUGAACAAUGAAGAGAAACCCGAGCACACGUGAGUGAGUGUGAACGGACUUUAUCCUGCUCUUCUGCAUCACCCUUCUCAAAAUCAACAACAUCUGUUGCACUUCGACUCAUCUUCCUCAUCAUCAUCAUCUUCACUUCCCCUCAGAGCCAUGCAAAUCUUUCAAUCUUCAGUUCAAUAUCAAUUGUAUUUUGAGUUCUGUUAAAUUCACCUUGUCGAGUUCUAGUUAAAGUGUCAAGGUCACCUUUAUUUGUAAAUACAGUAGUUUUUGCAAAGAUAAUUAAUCAUUUUUGAACAAAAAGAUAUUUUCAGCCUCCAGUCCUGUUUCUUGAGGACAUUCCAUGUCUUGAUAAACUUUUUCAGGGCUUGACUUUUAAAACUUUCCUUCGUUUGAUUUCUUAUCAACUUGCCUGACUGGUAAAGUGUGAAAAACUUCUGAUCCCUGAUAAGCUAUGACAGUUUUUUUUUCUAAAUAAAGGAACAUUUUUUUGUGUGUUAUUUUACUGUAGCCUGUACACAAAAGCAUUCACAGCUAAAAUGAGAAAAGGACUUGAAAGACUCUAUAAUCCUUUGUGGCUUCUGAUUUUUUGACAUGACAUAACAUGGUUUAUUUCCAUAAUCAUCCACUUUGUUAAAGGCAAAUCAGUUACCUCAACAGCAUGACCUUACACUUCCCAGCUUUCCCAAGAAUUUAGCCUGCAGGGAUUCAGUGACCUAUUUUUAUACAGGAUGUUUGAUAUUAUAGGGCAUCAACAUUCCCUGGGAAAGAUGAUUGCCAAAAAUGGAUUGGGGACUAACAUUCAGAAGUGGUUACAUGUGUUUAAUAAAAAUGGUGCACUUGAUCCAUAGGGUGGGUCUAUGAAGAUGAAAUACUGAUGCAGCUGCUCACUCAGCGGUGCACUGAAAGCAAUGCUAUUUGUCGGGAUGUGCUGUGACAUUUACUGUAGAGUUGAGUUUAAUAUGCCUUCAGUAUUCAACCCCAGAGCUCUUCCUGCUCUUACCAUUGCUGCACUGCUCACUUUAGAAUAUUUACUAAAAAGUAAGCUAUUUUCUAUUGUGAAAUUACAAAUUUUAUUUGAGAGUAAUUGUGUGAUCUUGUUAUGCUGUAACAUGACAUCUAGUAGGUGAUUUUAGAUUAAAGCUCAAUGGUUGAUCCUUAUGGGAAGAGAAUGUACUGCAAUAUAUUUGCUCUCUUUCUUCUUAAUGAUGUCUGAACCCUGACUGAUGCGGGACCAGCUAGUUAUUAUCAGAGAGGAAAGUGGAGAGUCUUUUAAAGACAGAAUGUUCAAGAGUUUUGGACAAGAAUGGGAGCAAAGAGACAGAUCUGUAGUUAAUGACAGCUGAGGAGUCAAGAACAGGUUUCUUUAGUAGGAAACUUGAAGGAGGAGGGAAAGCAUCUAGAAGAUCAGGGGGAAUUCACCAGAAAGGUGAGUGAUGGAUUGGACUUGUAACUAUGGCAUUGUUAAUUAAAGAAAAUUCCCACUUUUUUCUAUAUUCCAAAUGGUUGUUGUAUUUAUUUAUUUAUCCAUAUUUGAUGCCCAGAUUGGAUAGUAGGUGCCCUGUGACUGCUUAGACACUAUCUCUAUAUUUUUAGUCAUGUAUAUGCGAUGUCAGUGUUUACAUACAGAGAAUUGCUCUAUAUGAUGAUGAGGAGGAUGAUGAUCAGUAUUAUUAAUUAGUACUAAUAUUAUCAACAUUAUGUCUCUUGCUAAAAGAAGAUC
Anguilla rostrata (American eel) is the source of this 5764-nucleotide long non-coding RNA. RefSeq lists it as uncharacterized. The transcript is spliced from 3 exons. NCBI's taxonomy places the organism in Eukaryota, Metazoa, Chordata, Actinopteri, Anguilliformes, Anguillidae. The record is from RefSeq and is a predicted model, not a curated record.